UACGGAGGGUGCGAGCGUUGUCCGGAAUCACUGGGCGUAAAGGGCGCGUAGGUGGCCCGGCAAGCGUGCGGUGAAAGUUCGAGGCUCAACCUCGAAUCGGCCGUGCGAACUGCUGGACUGGAGCACUGUAGAGGCAGAUGGAAUUCCGGGUGUAGCGGUGGAAUGCGUAGAGAUCCGGAAGAACACCGGUGGCGAAGGCGGUCUGCUGGGCAGUUGCUGACACUGAGGCGCGACAGCGUGGGGAGCAAACAGG
This 253-nucleotide ribosomal RNA is filed under the name uncultured bacterium. RNAcentral's name for it is "partial 16S ribosomal RNA". It matches the Rfam family "Bacterial small subunit ribosomal RNA", at positions 524 to 776 of the family's 1533-position model. The record is from RNAcentral.